UUUUGAUGUAAUUGUUAAAGAUGAAUUUUAAUUUGGAGCAAAAUUUGGUACAAAAUAGUGCAAAUUUUGGUACAGGAUUGUAGAUGGCCUAAGAAAUGCGAGUACAACCAUUAGAUCCAUGACUUGAUCAUCAAUCUACAAGAUCUCACCAAAAAUAACCUCUAAUCUACUCAAGACCAAGAACAAGUGUAGUAAAGUUCUUUUACAGUUCAAACCGACCCAAAAAAGUCCCAAAACUUCCUGUAAAAUGAACACUAUAUUCAAGCCACAACACACAUGACUAUACACUACACCAACAAUUGAAAUCAGAAAUUAGAUCUGAUUUCCAGUAGAGAAACACCAGCCUUUGAGAGUGAGAGCUUUUUGUGAGUUUUUUGGAGAGAAAACUAGAUAUUGAGAGAAAAUGAAUGAAUCGUUCACCAACAGCCAGCCAGCCAACCCGAGUCAAAAGGAAUGCAUUUAAUCCACAGCCGUUAGAUCAGGUUCAAUGGUCCAGAUCAAACACAACAACACAAGUCUAGGUAACUAUAGUUCAGCCAACAAUUUUGUGCCAAGUGGGCAGCAAUUAAAAACGUUUUUCCACAUAAGAUAACAGGUUUUGUGUUUUGAAAAACGAAUUUUUUCGGUACUCAUCAACGUCUUCAAGUUUAGAAGUAGCAUUUGCUUGAUGAGUCCAAGUUUUUCUUCCUUGGGGCAACGCUAUUUUUCGGUGUUUCAGGCACACUUUAACCUACGUGAUUUUGAAAACACGGUAGCAAGUGAUUUUUUAUGGGAUUUCUUACCUAAAAAUGGCGAGCUCCGUUCUGAGUAAAAAAUGAAGAGGAUUCUAUAGGGGUUUUGGGACUUCUCUUAUGGGUGUGGGGGGGAAGAAGGUGAACAUACUUUUGUUUUUUAUUUUGGGUUUUUAUUUAACUUUUUUAUAUUUUUAUUAAGACUUUUCUUAAAUACUAGUCCAUUGUCUGUGCAAUGCAUGGGCUGAAUUAUUUCGAAGGUAAUGUUAGCAUUUGAAAUGUGUUAAAUUUUCAUAAAUAGAGUAUUCGUAAAUAAUAUUUUCAAUUCAAUGUUUGCUAUUACUAUACUGGAAUGGGCUUGUUUGUAUUUAGCAUUCAAUAAAACGUCAAAAAUCAAUUUACAUCAUUUGAGAAAUUCAAAUCAUAGAGACAAUAUAUAUUUGUAAAGAAAUUGAUGUUUGUUAUAGUAUUAAUCUAAAUGUCACAAGAAAUAUAACGUUUAUAUUUGUCCUCAAGGAAUGCUCGUUGCUCCACCAGAUGCCCUGGAAGGAUUAAACUUGAAAGUCAGUUAAGCUUAUUCUUUAUUGAAAUAUGAGGACAGAUUGAGGAUCACUUUCUUUUAUUGAGCAUACAGAGAGAUUUAUCAUUUACCAAGUUCUCUCAUUCCAGAGCAAGCAAGGAAGCAAGCAAAUGAAUGAGCCCAUUUUACAGUAAUAAACAUUUUAUUGCCAAUGACAACAGCAGAUAGACUUCCACAUUUCUGGUUCUUUUGGCAUGUGAUAAAAACACCUUAUAAUGCUCAGAAAUCACAGUAGCAUAUAGAGAAGUUCGUUCUAUGAAAAAUUAUUUUUAGAAUUCAUAAGGGCAUCUGAAUAUACACUAAAAAUGAAGUAAACAAAAUUUAGAAAUCAAGAAUAAACAAAGAGUAAUACUCCAUUAAACAGUAUAGAAGGUAAAAUUUAACAGGGCAUACCAAGCUUGAAUUUCAUACUGCCCUUGGAAACCAAAUUUAAAAGGAUCCCCAAAUUUAUUGUUCAAAAUUAUAAUUGUUAGCACAUUUUAUCUCACUAUUAUACAAUUUGCUAGGUAUUUAGCAUUCCCAAAUACAUCAAAGGAAAACUAAUCAAUUAACUGUGGCACUGAUGUAAUAACAUUCUGUAACAUAGCUUUCUGGGGAGAGACUCCUCUCGAUGAAAAAACAGCCUACCAAAAAACCCGGGAAAACAAUAAAACGGGAAGGAAAAUGAAAGAAAAAGGAAAAAUAUCUUUUAAAGAGCAUCAACUUUUCAACAAUUGAUACUUUAGGAGUAUGAAAUUCUAUCCUCUGCUCUUUCAAUUUAUUUAGGCCAAAAUCCUCAAUCACACAUCAAAAAGCAGUUUGCGGAAGCAUGUUUUUUGGUGCAAAUCAUUCACAUACUAUGCAACCUUCAAUGAGCAUCUGCCAUCAAGUUCUCGAAGAUUGGUCACAAGUUAAAGAUUUAAAUUCACUCAAUCAAGUUAGGAUUAGAAAAAGUUUCUGUAGGUCCUUUACUCCCCUCUUCACGUCUCGAACUAUUGAAUCCUUUACGCAUUUAGUUUAAGUACAUGUUAACAUUAAAUCAAUCUUAAUGAAAAUUCUUGGCCUUCUCCACCUCAGCAUGAGCCUUCUUCUGAAGUACUGUUCAUUCUCAAGCAUCUAGAGAGUCUACACGAGGGUAAGAAUGAAAAAGCAAAUAUGUGGAAAGAUAGAUAACAAGCAAUACAUCUAGGUAAAAUUACAGCGAGUUAUAACUCUGACUAAUUCAAAUGUUUAAAGCAAAAGCUAUAGAAUCAAACCUGUUUACAAAUAGAUAUGUAUGCUAUAGCAUCAACUUAUGCACCUCCAGAAUUAAUUGCUCCAUAAAAAUUAGGAUUGUAGCAAAACUCAUAAUACUUUUCAAAUCCUACGCUAAGAUGCUAAAGAACACUUGCAAGUUAAUUUUGCCAUUCGAUAAUAUUUCUCGUUCUCACUUUCUAGUAAGCUAUUUGCAAAUAACAACAAUAAACGAAACACCCAUAAUGUGUUUACCUUUAUGCAUGUCAUAGGGCUACUUUUCAUGUUAUAAGUAAAUAUCUUAUACAUAGUAGCAAGAGAGGAAGAAAAAUAAACAGAAAGGCUAUCCUACUCUCUGCUGCUAAUAUUUUUCUAGAUCCACUGAACCCAGGAAGAAUAUCGAGCAACCAUCGUUGGCUUUUUCUCUGAAUUAGCUUGGUGGACGACUCCUAAGGUUAAGACUAUUAGCUAUAAGACAUCAUAAGGAACUGGUGUAAAAUAUGAGAAAAUACGUAAUAUCCGUUUUGGAAGAACUUCAGACUAUCAUAGAUUAAAAACCCAAACAGCAAGAGUUUGGGAAUGGUAAAAGCAAUGGGAGGUAUUUGAUAAAAUCGUUUAGAGUAAAGAAAAUUUGAUUAGUGAAGAGAGAGAAUCACAGAAAUAGGAAAAUGAAGUGUUGCAUAAAGAAAGGAAUUCUAAAAAGCUAAAACCAAAUUAGUGUGUGCAAAAAUCACAAAAUGUAACAAAUUAUAAGAACUGAAUGAGAAGGUAGUUUGUUGAAUCAUAUAUACCUAAGAAAUCAGAAAAUAAACGACAUUAAAAAAAAUUAUGCUGGUAAAAAGUGCUGAAAUUAUCAAGUUCACAUGCAUAUCACAUCAUAAAUGAAUUGCACGUAACUUUGAUGGCUAAAACUGGAACAAGAUUGAGAGAAGUGCGAUCUAUUCUCAAAUAGGUCAAAACUAUAGAAGAUUAAUUUGGAAGAAUUUAUUACCUUUCCAGAAUUUCACACAAUCUAAAGGAAAGGAAAUUAGAAGAUUGAGACGACCAAGAAUAAGGCAGACUAAAAUAAAAAAUGCUCAUGUUUUCUAUUCAACGUACAUGUAAACUCUGAAUAUGACAGAUGAGCAUGUCUGAAAUUGUAAUUAUUAAUGACACAAAGGUUCGGUAGGUAAGAAAAAUGAUUUGUAGAAGAAAUUCAUGAUUUCUUAUACUCCUGUAUAUCGUACAGGGCUGGAGAGUGGAAUGAAGUGAAUAAAAUUGUACGCUAAAGUGUAACUAAAACUCGUAGGACACUAUUAAAAAAUAUGGAUUCAGGCACGAAUUUUUUGUUCCAAAAANNNNN
This 3865-nucleotide long non-coding RNA is filed under the name Olea europaea (common olive). Its description in RNAcentral is "long non-coding RNA (OEUR_LNC011683)". Lineage: Eukaryota; Viridiplantae; Streptophyta; Magnoliopsida; Lamiales; Oleaceae. The record is from RNAcentral.